AGAGUGGUAGUUCAGUUGGUUAGAAUACCGAGCUGUCCCGCCCGGGGGGGGGAGCGGGUUCGAGUCCCGUCCACUCCACUA
RNAcentral lists this transfer RNA (81 nucleotides) under uncultured Caballeronia sp. Its description in RNAcentral is "tRNA-Thr-TGT". It matches the Rfam family "tRNA". Rfam says of the family: Transfer RNA (tRNA) molecules are approximately 80 nucleotides in length. Their secondary structure includes four short double-helical elements and three loops (D, anti-codon, and T loops). Lineage: Bacteria; Pseudomonadati; Pseudomonadota; Betaproteobacteria; Burkholderiales; Burkholderiaceae. The record is from RNAcentral.